Long non-coding RNA from Papaver somniferum (opium poppy), 2735 nucleotides. RefSeq lists it as uncharacterized. The transcript has 3 exons. NCBI's taxonomy places the organism in Eukaryota, Viridiplantae, Streptophyta, Magnoliopsida, Ranunculales, Papaveraceae. The record is from RefSeq and is a predicted model, not a curated record.
AACUCCCUCUUCUUCUCUGCAACUUUCUCUUUCUCCAUACUCUGCAAUUUUUUCGACUUGAUCUUUAUGUCAAGUCGACCAGACGCUCUUCCUACUGUCGAUUGUCCAUCAAGUUUUUCCUACUUUAGCCAAAUGCCGCCGAAAUCAACCAAGAAACCCUUGUCUGAAUUCCAAGAAGAAUUAGAAUUGAAAUGAUUUAAGCUUUCGAUUCCAGAGAGUUCUUCACCGACCGCUUCUCUAUAUUACAACUGGCUCACAAAGGAGAAAUGAAAUGCGAAUAGAAUUGUCGUUACGCUGGGACAACUACAAGCAGGUUUACCUAUCCCUAUUUAUGAUCCAGAUAAUCCUUUAUUCUAUCAAAUUCUUUCACAUAUGAAGCCAUAACGAGGAGUGUUUCAAUUAUGUGGUAAUACCAUUCACAUUCUCCGUGAGUUCUUCCUUCGCGCAUCAGGUGAAUGUUCUUCAUGCUCUAGCUAAUCCCUACAACCCCAAGGACUACACCGUCGAGUCCUUCUUCAAACAAUAUAAUAUUCACUUUGUCUCUCGCAAAGAAUCGCAUUGGGGUAUUCGCUUUAAUCGAUCAACAAGGAUUGAAAAGGAGGAUAAGCUUAUGCAUGAUGUGGUUUUCACAGCAGCAAGAACUCCAAUCUUCGCUUUUCUAAUGAUGAAUCUUGGAUACGGUUUCCUUUGAUUAUUGAAGGACCCUUUGUUUGGGGAAAAUCGACGAUGGAUCUGCUCACCUAGGUCCUGAUGAAGGUCAUAUAGUGGAGGUUUAGAGUCCUUGGUCUUUUCACCCGGCUGAGAAGUCUGAUAAUGUAUUUUUCUCGACUUCACAUUUUCAUUUCCUGUUUCUCUAUUAUAUUCCAUGCGAUAUACUUGAAUUUUUGAUGUUUUCAGCUUGAUGGAGUUUAAGCUCGCCCACAGAACAAGGGCUAAAGGAGUAAGAAAUACUAAUUCGUGUAAUUUUUUCAUUUUUCAAAAACAAAUAUUGUUGCCUCUAUUUCUUAUCUGUUUUGGUUUGAGAAGGGGAUUGCUGGGGGGACUUCAUCUCAUCCCAAGGAAAAAAGGAAACGUUAUUCUCCCAAAAUUUAUGUGAAUGUGGAUCUAAAGGUUGGUACCCUUAAAGAUGCACCAGGUUGUCAAAAGCGUCUUGCGAAGACUAAGAAAAGGGAAAUCAUCCACCCUGCCCCUUCCUUCACAUCCUUCUGAUGGAGUUCCUGAAACUUCUACUCCUACUAGUGAGGUCCCCAUUACUGAAGAGCUCAUUACUGAGUCUUAUGUUGUGAAAGAGUCUCAAAUCGCUGAAUCCUCUGCGAAGGAUAAGAAUGCCUCUGCAAAUCAACCAAAUACUUCCAAUGUUAAUGACUCGCAAAUCAACCAAAUACUUCCAAUAAGACAACUUGCGUGAAUGAGAAUGAAUCUUCUUUAAAUGAGAAGCGGAUGCUUGGGUCCGAUGCCUUCGCCUUUAGGACUCAUUUGUCGAUAUUGAGUAUAUUACUAGGAUCUUCAAUACGGGAAAAUCUUCUAGCAAUGACCCGGAUUUCUCCCAAGUUUGCAAUGCGUUGACAAAGUUGGGUUCUAAAUCUUCUCCAAACAAACAAACCACACGUGAGAUUGCCUCUGCCAUAAAUUUAAGGCAGCACUGCGCCUUGGACUAUAUGGAGGGUCUUCGUCGCUUGGUGCAAUUGGAUCAAAUUUCCAAGCUUCAAGGGGAAGUAUCUAAACUUCAGGGAGACGUGUCCCAGCUUCUAGGGGAACUAACUGUUGAAUCAAACGAAGUUUCUAAGAUUUCUACGAAAAAUCAAGAGCUUAAAGGAGAGAUCAUCUUGUAUGUCGCAUUCAUUACUCCCUCUUGUGUUUCAGUUCUUGAUUUUAGGUUAUUCGUAUACAAAGAUCUUAAUCGAAACCCGUAAAUGAGUGCUAUGAAUUCCAAUUUGCUGCUGAAGAUGAUAUUGCCGAGAGUGCGAAUUUGAAAAGUCAAGUGGAUCAUCUAAACUCUGCACAUUCAUAUCUAAGAGACCACAUCGAUAAUUUGAAAGUUGACAAUCUCGACUUAAAUAGACGAGUUGUUGAGCUUAACUCCCAAGUGAAUCGCCUCACAAGGUUAUUGUAUAAUUCUGAUGAGCUGAAUCGAACCCUAAGAGAUGAAGUUCGCACUCUAAUGAAAGAGAAACUUGUAUUGGUGCGUGAUAAAGCUUCAUUCGGCCUUGAAUAUGUAAAAGCACAAAAGGUUUGCAAGAAUCUCAGAAGUCAACUUCAUGCUCAGAAGAAUCUAGUCUUUAAUUUGGAAAAAGAUAAGAAAGUUCUAUCUCGCGUAAAUAAGACCUCUUUCAACAGGCAAGUAAUACCUCAACAGGAUGCUAAUAAGACCCAAAAAUAAAUUUAAAACCUCUAUCUAGGGAGGCUAGGUACCCAAUCUUUAACGUCCACCCUAGUUCGCACAUGACGCAAGAGGCACAAUUAUGUGAUACCUAACGCGUGUCAUAUUAGGGAACGUCGGCGUCAUAUCGGGGAGCAUGAGCUCGCUUUCCAUAUCGCUGAUAUUCUUCGCAUCUUGUGGUGACUUCUUUCGCAUCAUCAUACAUAUAAGGCCAGAAAUAACCUUGUCUUUUGGUUUUAUGUGCUAGAGAUCUUGUCCCACUAUGGUUACCUGCAUCUCCACAAUGUAUAUCUUUUUUUUCGGAUUCAUGAACCUAUUGAAUGGAUACUAAUCGUGCGACCUACUUCAACGGAAC